UGGGGAAUAUUGCGCAAUGGGGGGAACCCUGACGCAGCCAUGCCGCGUGAAUGAAGAAGGCCUUCGGGUUGUAAAGUUCUUUCGGUAUUGAGGAAGGUUGAUGUGUUAAUAGCACAUCAAAUUGACGUUAAAUACAGAAGAAGCACCGGCUAACUCCGUGCCAGCAGCCGCGGUAAUACGGAGGGUGCGAGCGUUAAUCGGAAUAACUGGGCGUAAAGGGCACGCAGGCGGUUAUUUAAGUGAGGCGUGAAAGCCCCGGGCUUAACCUGGGAAUUGCAUUUCAGACUGGGUAACUAGAGUACUUUAGGGAGGGGUAGAAUUCCACGUGUAGCGGUGAAAUGCGUAGAGAUGUGGAGGAAUACCGAAGGCGAAGGCAGCCCCUUGGGAAUGUACUGACGCUCAUGUGCGAAAGCGUGGGGAGCAAACAGGAUUAGAUACCCUGGUAGUCCACGCUGUAAACGCUGUCGAUUUGGGGGUUGGGGUUUAACUCUGGCGCCCGUAGCUAACGUGAUAAAUCGACCGCCUGGGGAGUACGGCCGCAAGGUUA
RNAcentral lists this ribosomal RNA (547 nucleotides) under uncultured bacterium. Its description in RNAcentral is "bacterial SSU rRNA". It matches the Rfam family "Bacterial small subunit ribosomal RNA", at positions 355 to 896 of the family's 1533-position model. The record is from RNAcentral.